RNAcentral lists this ribosomal RNA (187 nucleotides) under Escherichia coli. RNAcentral describes it as "partial 16S ribosomal RNA". It matches the Rfam family "Bacterial small subunit ribosomal RNA", at positions 1 to 181 of the family's 1533-position model. RNAcentral also lists the same sequence under 1 other name. The record is from RNAcentral. Lineage: Bacteria; Pseudomonadati; Pseudomonadota; Gammaproteobacteria; Enterobacterales; Enterobacteriaceae.
AAAUUGAAGAGUUUGAUCAUGGCUCAGAUUGAACGCUGGCGGCAGGCCUAACACAUGCAAGUCGAACGGUAACAGGAAGCAGCUUGCUGCUUCGCUGACGAGUGGCGGACGGGUGAGUAAUGUCUGGGAAACUGCCUGAUGGAGGGGGAUAACUACUGGAAACGGUAGCUAAUACCGCAUAAUGUCG